GGAGCCAUAACUGAGUGGCAGAUCAUCUGCUCUGCAUGCAGAAGGCCGCAGGUUCAAUCCCUGGUGCCUCCA
Non-coding RNA from Podarcis lilfordi (Lilford's wall lizard), 72 nucleotides. Lineage: Eukaryota; Metazoa; Chordata; Lepidosauria; Squamata; Lacertidae. The record is from the annotation of a GenBank genome assembly.